Molecule: ribosomal RNA, 448 nt
Filed under: uncultured bacterium
Lineage: Bacteria
Description: partial 16S ribosomal RNA
Rfam family: Bacterial small subunit ribosomal RNA
Source: RNAcentral
AACGAACGCUGGCGGCAGGCUUAACACAUGCAAGUCGAACGCUCCGCAAGGAGAGUGGCAGACGGGUGAGUAACGCGUGGGAACCUUCCUAUCGGUUCGGAAUAGCUCAGGGAAACUUGGGGUAAUACCGGAUACGCCCUAUGGGGGAAAGAUUUAUCGCCGAUAGAUGGGCCCGCGUCUGAUUAGCUAGUUGGUGAGGUAAUGGCUCACCAAGGCGACGAUCAGUAGCUGGUUUGAGAGAAUGACCAGCCACCACUGGGACUGAGACACGGCCCAGACUCCUACGGGAGGCAGCAGUGGGGAAUCUUGGACAAUGGGCGCAAGCCUGAUCCAGCCAUGCCGCGUGAGUGACGAAGGCCUUAGGGUUGUAAAGCUCUUUUAGCAGGGAAGAUAAUGACGGUACCUGCAGAAUAAGCCCCGGCUAACUUCGUGCCAGCCGCCGCGGUAA